GAUGAACGCUGGCGGCGUGCCUAAUACAUGCAAGUCGAGCGAACAGACGAGGAGCUUGCUCCUCUGACGUUAGCGGCGGACGGGUGAGUCACACGUGGAUAACCUACCUGUAAGACGGGGAACACUUCGGGAAACCGGCGAUAAUACCGGAUAAUAUAUUGAAGCGCAUGGUUCAAUAGUGAAAGACGGUUUUGCUGUCACUUAUAGAUGGAUCCGCGCCGCAUUAGCUGGUUGGUAAGGUAACGGCUUACCAAGGCAACGAUGCGUGUCCGACCUGAGAGGGUGGUCGCCCACCUUGGAGCUGAACCACCGUCCAUAGUCCUACGGGAGGGACCAGUCUGGAACCUUCCGCAGUGGGGGAAAGCCUGACGGAGCAACCCCGCGUGAGAUAUAGCGGUCUUCGGUUCGUAAAGCUCUGUUUUUAGGGAAAAACAAAUUUGUAAGUAACCAUGCACUUCUUGACGGUACCGAAUCAGAAAGCCCCGGCUAACUACGUG
This 497-nucleotide ribosomal RNA is filed under the name uncultured bacterium. RNAcentral's name for it is "partial 16S ribosomal RNA". It matches the Rfam family "Bacterial small subunit ribosomal RNA", at positions 28 to 507 of the family's 1533-position model. The record is from RNAcentral.